This 325-nucleotide unclassified non-coding RNA is filed under the name Hevea brasiliensis (rubber tree). The record is from RNAcentral. Lineage: Eukaryota; Viridiplantae; Streptophyta; Magnoliopsida; Malpighiales; Euphorbiaceae.
GGAUUUGGAAUCCACAGCUCAGAUUCCAAUUCCAUCUCCAAAACCAAAAUCCACUUGAGAAGACAUAAGAGAUUAACAUAAUAAUAUAACACAGAACUAGAUGUACAUGAAAUAAAAGGUAAUAGAAUAAUAGCAAUAAUGAACUAGUUACAUCUUUUCACAACUUUAUUAUACCUCUAAAUUACUGAGACCCAAAAUUAUCAACACCAAAUCAUCUGCUCCCAGGUUCCAUUCCCACAAAUGUAGCAUAUUCGAGAACCGUGUAGCCUUCAUGAAAAGUCCUCCUUACAUUAGACUCAUAGCUCUCUAUUGAAUUUUAAGGUCA